ACUCCUACGGGAGGCAGCAGUGGGGAAUAUUGCACAAUGGGCGCAAGCCUGAUGCAGCCAUGCCGCGUGUAUGAAGAAGGCCUUCGGGUUGUAAAGUACUUUCAGCGGGGAGGAAGGCAAUACGGUUAAUAACCGUGUUGAUUGACGUUACCCGCAGAAGAAGCACCGGCUAACUCCGUGCCAGCAGCCGCGGUAAUACGGAGGGUGCAAGCGUUAAUCGGAAUUACUGGGCGUAAAGCGCACGCAGGCGGUCUGUCAAGUCGGAUGUGAAAUCCCCGGGCUCAACCUGGGAACUGCAUUCGAAACUGGCAGGCUUGAGUCUUGUAGAGGGGGGUAGAAUUCCAGGUGUAGCGGUGAAAUGCGUAGAGAUCUGGAGGAAUACCGGUGGCGAAGGCGGCCCCCUGGACAAAGACUGACGCUCAGGUGCGAAAGCGUGGGGAGCAAACAGGAUUAGAAACCCGAGUAGUCCCAUGA
This 474-nucleotide ribosomal RNA is filed under the name uncultured organism. RNAcentral describes it as "partial 16S ribosomal RNA". It matches the Rfam family "Bacterial small subunit ribosomal RNA", at positions 335 to 800 of the family's 1533-position model. The record is from RNAcentral.